AAAGCAGCUACAUAUUUCGACGGACGGUCAGGUCGGGGGAGAUAAAGCGUUAAAUUACUUUGUUUUGAUGCAUCAGUUACUAAGGUUAACCGUGUUUAUGGAAUGUGGUUGAGAGCUGCAAUUUGAUUUCAUAAACAACACAUGCGCAGUAUUUCAUACUCAAGGUGCGAGUCCUUUUCCUGUUUGUGUCAUACAUCAUCUCCUCAACCCUGUUAACAGGGUUCGGUUUACUGUCCCGGAUCAAACAAACGACAAGAAGAGAAACGCAGCACUAGUAAUACAUCUACUAGGAUGGAUGAGACCAACAAGUUUCUAGGGUGCAUUUCAUUGCAAGGUUCAUUGACUGUAUAUUUUUGUAUGUUUGCACUUCCUUACAACUCCCAACUUAAAACUUACAACGUGAAGCUAUUCAAACCAGUAAUGGGUGGAUUUAAUGUUUUCCCUUAACAGGUAAAGCACGUGCCAACCGGUUUUUCCAUAACAGCUUUGGAUAGGGGUGGCAGUUGUUGUUAAAAUAAUAAAAGAAAAUCAUUUUACAGAUGACUAGAUUGAUAAAUAAAUCUGAGCGAUAAAUAUUUUUAGGUUAGCGCAAUCGCACAAAACCACACCUUUACCUCAAAACUAUUAAAUUAAUUUAAAUAUU
Molecule: long non-coding RNA, 643 nt
Organism: Eupeodes corollae
Lineage: Eukaryota; Metazoa; Arthropoda; Insecta; Diptera; Syrphidae
Exons: 3
Source: RefSeq, a predicted model, not a curated record